GCGAGAAAUGAAAUAUACACGGUGGGACAUAUUAUAAUAAUAUAGACUCAAAUGAAAUGAAUACUCCAGCAUUAAAUGGAAAUGAGGGAACACAGAACAGACAAGAAUCAUCCGAUGUAAGUCUUAUACUCCGGGGGACAUCUGAAAAAGCAACAGCCAUCUUCUAUAGCAGAAGCAAUGAUAUUAGAUACAGAAGUAGCUGUUAUAGCGAAUUUUGAAUUUUUGGGACAUACAGACAUGGACAUGGAAGAGGAAAAAGAUGGAGAGGAUGAAAUUUAUGAUGCAAAUACAGAUACCAAACUAAAUAAAGCAUCUCUUUGUUUCUGCUCUUCUUUUCAUAUCUUCAUUAUAUUUUCCUUUGUUCUUCUCAAAAACAUAUUUUGCCAUGUGCGCAUGUGAUUACAAAAUGUAAGAAUAUUUCCAUGUAUCAAUAUAUCUUCUCAUAUAG
Molecule: RNA transcript, 448 nt
Organism: Harpegnathos saltator (Jerdon's jumping ant)
Lineage: Eukaryota; Metazoa; Arthropoda; Insecta; Hymenoptera; Formicidae
Exons: 3
Source: RefSeq, a predicted model, not a curated record